Molecule: ribosomal RNA, 232 nt
Filed under: Escherichia coli
Lineage: Bacteria; Pseudomonadati; Pseudomonadota; Gammaproteobacteria; Enterobacterales; Enterobacteriaceae
Description: partial 16S ribosomal RNA
Rfam family: Bacterial small subunit ribosomal RNA
Source: RNAcentral
AAAUUGAAGAGUUUGAUCAUGGCUCAGAUUGAACGCUGGCGGCAGGCCUAACACAUGCAAGUCGAACGGUAACAGGAAGAAGCUUGCUUCUUUGCUGACGAGUGGCGGACGGGUGAGUAAUGUCUGGGAAACUACCUGAUGGAGGGGGAUAACUACUGGAAACGGUAGCUAAUACCGCAUAACGUCGCAAGACCAAAGAGGGGGACCUUCGGGCCUCUUGCCAUCGGAUGUG